RNAcentral lists this transfer RNA (76 nucleotides) under Chthoniobacterales bacterium. RNAcentral's name for it is "tRNA-Ala". It matches the Rfam family "tRNA". From Rfam's summary of the family: Transfer RNA (tRNA) molecules are approximately 80 nucleotides in length. Their secondary structure includes four short double-helical elements and three loops (D, anti-codon, and T loops). Further hydrogen bonds mediate the characteristic L-shaped molecular structure. tRNAs have two regions of fundamental functional importance: the anti-codon, which is responsible for specific mRNA codon recognition, and the 3' end, to which the tRNAs corresponding amino acid is attached (by aminoacyl-tRNA synthetases). tRNAs cope with the degeneracy of the genetic code in two manners: having more than one tRNA (with a specific anti-codon) for a particular amino acid; and 'wobble' base-pairing, i.e. permitting non-standard base-pairing at the 3rd anti-codon position. Lineage: Bacteria; Pseudomonadati; Verrucomicrobiota; Spartobacteria; Chthoniobacterales. The record is from RNAcentral.
GGGGGUAUAGCUCAGUUGGUAGAGCGCGUCGUUCGCAAUGACGAGGCCAGGGGUUCGAAUCCCCUUACCUCCACCA